AUACGUAGGUGACAAGCGUUAUCCGGAUUUACUGGGCGUAAAGGGCGUGUAGGCGGUCUUGCAAGUCAGAAGUGAAAUUCCUGAGCUCAACUCGGGCGCUGCUUCUGAAACUGCAGGACUUGAGUGCUGGAGGGGAUAGCGGAAUUCCUAGUGGAGCGGUAAAAUGCGCAGAUAUUAGGAAGAACACCGGUGGCGAAGGCGGGUAUCUGGACAGUAACUGCCGCUGAGGCGCGAAAGCGUGGGGAGCAAACAGGAUUAGAUCCCCUGGUAGUCCACGCCGUAAACGAUGAAUACUAGGUGUAGGGGGUAUCGACUCCCUCUGUGCCGCAGUUAACACAAUAAGUAUCCCGCCUGGGGAGUACGGCCGCAAGGUUGAAACUCAAAUGAAUUGACGGGG
RNAcentral lists this ribosomal RNA (397 nucleotides) under uncultured bacterium. RNAcentral's name for it is "partial 16S ribosomal RNA". It matches the Rfam family "Bacterial small subunit ribosomal RNA", at positions 523 to 918 of the family's 1533-position model. The record is from RNAcentral.